This 145-nucleotide unclassified non-coding RNA is filed under the name soil metagenome. RNAcentral's name for it is "partial internal transcribed spacer 1". The record is from RNAcentral.
CCGAGUUUACAACUCCCAAACCCCUGUGAACAUACCACUUGUUGCCUCGGCGGAUCAGCCCGCUCCCGUAAAACGGGACGGCCCGCCAGAGGACCCCUAAACUCUGUUUCUAUAUGUAACUUCUGAGUAAAACCAUAAAUAAAUC